CAUACGGGUGGCUGCAGUGGGGAAUAUUGGACAAUGGGCGAAAGCCUGAUCCAGCCAUGCCGCGUGUGUGAAGAAGGCCUUCGGGUUGUAAAGCACUUUCAGUGGGGAAGAAAGCCUUGGGGCUAAUACCCUCGAGGAAGGACAUCACCCACAGAAGAAGCACCGGCUAACUCCGUGCCAGCAGCCGCGGUAAUACGGAGGGUGCGAGCGUUAAUCGGAAUUACUGGGCGUAAAGCGCGCGUAGGCGGUCUGAUAAGCCGGUUGUGAAAGCCCCGGGCUCAACCUAGGAACGGCAUCCGGAACUGUCAGGCUAGAGUGCAGGAGAGGAAGGUAGAAUUCCCGGUGUAGCGGUGAAAUGCGUAGAGAUCGGGAGGAAUACCAGUGGCGAAGGCGGCCUUCUGGACUGACACUGACGCUGAGGUGCGAAAGCGUGGGUAGCAAACAGGAUUAGAUACCCUUGUAGUC
Molecule: ribosomal RNA, 465 nt
Filed under: Vreelandella stevensii
Lineage: Bacteria; Pseudomonadati; Pseudomonadota; Gammaproteobacteria; Oceanospirillales; Halomonadaceae
Description: partial 16S ribosomal RNA
Rfam family: Bacterial small subunit ribosomal RNA
Source: RNAcentral